AACGAACGCUGGCGGCAUGCCUAACACAUGCAAGUCGAACGAGACCUUCGGGUCUAGUGGCGCACGGGUGCGUAACGCGUGGGAACCUGCCCUUAGGUUCGGAAUAACUCCCCGAAAGGGGUGCUAAUACCGGAUAAUGUCUUCGGACCAAAGAUUUAUCGCCUUUGGAUGGGCCCGCGUUGGAUUAGCUAGUUGGUAGGGUAAAAGCCUACCAAGGCGACGAUCCAUAGCUGGUCUGAGAGGAUGAUCAGCCACACUGGGACUGAGACACGGCCCAGACUCCUACGGGAGGCAGCAGUGGGGAAUAUUGGACAAUGGGCGAAAGCCUGAUCCAGCAAUGCCGCGUGAGUGAUGAAGGCCUUAGGUUGGUAAAGCUCUUUUACCCGGGAUGAUAAUGACAGUACCGGGAGAAUAAGCUCCGGCUAACUCCGU
RNAcentral lists this ribosomal RNA (432 nucleotides) under uncultured bacterium. RNAcentral describes it as "partial 16S ribosomal RNA". It matches the Rfam family "Bacterial small subunit ribosomal RNA", at positions 29 to 506 of the family's 1533-position model. The record is from RNAcentral.